RNAcentral lists this ribosomal RNA (408 nucleotides) under uncultured bacterium. Its description in RNAcentral is "partial 16S ribosomal RNA". It matches the Rfam family "Bacterial small subunit ribosomal RNA", at positions 28 to 526 of the family's 1533-position model. The record is from RNAcentral.
GACGAACGCUGGCGGCGUGCUUAACACAUGCAAGUCGAACGAAGUGGCGAACGGGUGAGUAAUACGUGGGUAACCUGCCCUCCUUUUUGGGAUAAGCCUUGGAAACGGGGUCUAAUACCGAAUAAAGGGGGAUGGGCGCGCGGCUUAUCAGCUUGUUGGUGGGGUGAUGGCCUACCACGGCGGUGCCGGGUAGCCGGCCUGAGAGGGGGACCGGCAAGAUUGCGACUGAGAUACGGCCCAGACUCCUACGGGAGGCGGGAGUGGGGGAUAGUGCACAAUGGGCGAAAGCCUGAGGCAGCGACGCCGCGUGGGGGAUGAAGGUUUUCGGGUUGUAAACCUCUGUGGAUAUCGAAAGGGUAGGUGGAGAAGAAGCGCCGGCUAACUACGUGCCAGCAGCCGCGGUAAUAC